CCUAUGGGUGGCACCAGUGGGGAAUAUUGCACAAUGGGCGCAAGCCUGAUGCUGCCAUGCCGCGUGUAUGAAGAAGGCCUUAGGGUUGUAAAGUACUUUCAGUUGGGAGGAAGGCGUUGAUGCUAAUAUCAUCAACGAUUGACGUUACCAACAGAAGAAGCACCGGCUAACUCCGUGCCAGCAGCCGCGGUAAUACGGAGGGUGCAAGCGUUAAUCGGAAUUACUGGGCGUAAAGCGCACGCAGGCGGUUGAUUAAGUUAGAUGUGAAAUCCCCGGGCUUAACCUGGGAAUGGCAUCUAAGACUGGUCAGCUAGAGUCUUGUAGAGGGGGGGUAGAAUUCCAUGUGUAGCGGUGAAAUGCGUAGAGAUGUGGAGGAAUACCGGUGGGGAAGGCGGCCCCUGGACAAAGACUGACGCUCAGGUGCGAAAGCGUGGGGAGCAAACAGGAUUAGAUACCCGCGUAGUC
Molecule: ribosomal RNA, 465 nt
Filed under: uncultured bacterium
Lineage: Bacteria
Description: bacterial SSU rRNA
Rfam family: Bacterial small subunit ribosomal RNA
Source: RNAcentral